RNAcentral lists this long non-coding RNA (893 nucleotides) under Vitis vinifera (wine grape). Its description in RNAcentral is "long non-coding RNA (VVIN_LNC002659)". Lineage: Eukaryota; Viridiplantae; Streptophyta; Magnoliopsida; Vitales; Vitaceae. The record is from RNAcentral.
GAAACCCCAAUUCACACUUAGCCAGCUCAAGAAGGCCAUCCCCCCACAUUGUUUCCAGCGAUCCGUUCUCCACUCAUUCUCCUAUGUGAUUUCCGACCUCACAUGGGCAUCUCUCUUAUAUUACAUUGCUACCAAUUAUUUCCACCUCCUUCCUCAUCCUCUCUCCUACCUGGCCUGGCCAAUUUACUGGGCCUUCCAAGGUUGCAUCCUAACUGGCGUUUGGGUCAUAGCACAUGAAUGUGGCCACCAUGCCUUCAGUGACUACCAAUGGCUUGAUGACACUGUUGGCCUCAUCCUACAUUCCUCUCUCCUUGUACCUUACUUCUCCUGGAAAUAUAGCCAUCGCCGCCAUCAUUCUAAUACCGGUUCCCUCGAGAAGGAUGAAGUCUUUGUCCCCAAAACCAAAUCCAAACUCGGAUGGUACUCCAAAUACCUGAACAAUCCACUUGGUCGAUUCGUCACACUCACCAUUCAACUCACUCUAGGCUGGCCUUUGUACCUAAUGUUCAACGUUUCAGGCAGGCGCUACAGUAGAUUUGCUUGCCACUUUGAUCCACAUGGUCCAAUUUACUCAGAUCGUGAGCGACUGCAGAUAUACAUUUCAGAUGCUGGUGUUCUUGCCAUCACCUAUGGACUUUACCGUCUUGCAGUAUCAAAAGGUCUCACAUGGGUUUUGUGUGUUUAUGGAUGUCCCUUGCUGAUUGUGAAUGGAUUUCUGGUGCUGAUAACGUAUUUGCAGCAUACCCACCCGUCUCUGCCACACUAUGAUUCCUCUGAGUGGGACUGGUUGAGAGGAGCUUUGGCCACCAUGGAUAGAGACUAUGGAAUUCUUAACAAGGUUUUCCAUCAUAUAACGGAUACUCAUGUGGCACACCAUUUGUUCUCAACAUUGC